CGUGCAAGGUAGCGUAAUCACUUGUCUUUUAAUUAAGGACCCGUAUGAAUGACAAAACGAGGGCUCAACUGUCUCCUUCUUUUAGUCAAUGAAAUUGAUCUCCCCGUGCAGAAGCGGGGAUUCAUUCAUAAGACGAGAAGACCCUAUGAAGCUUUAGACAAUCGGACAUACCCUGUUAAUACACCCCCAUAAAAGGGCCAAAACCUACCCACCCAUGUCCCCGUCUUAGGUUGGGGCGACCCCGGGGAACAAAAACCCCCCACGUGGAAUAGUAGCAUCCGCUAUCCACAACCGAGAGCCACGACUCCAAAAACCAGAACCUCUGACCACAAAUAUGACCCGGCAAUGCCGAUCAACGAACCAAGUUACUCUAGGGAUAACAGCGCAAUCCCCUUUUUAGAGGCCGCAUCAACAAGGGGGUUUACGACCUCGAUGUUGGAUCAGGACAUCCUA
RNAcentral lists this ribosomal RNA (453 nucleotides) under Trichiurus lepturus (Atlantic cutlassfish). RNAcentral's name for it is "partial 16S rRNA". It matches the Rfam family "Bacterial large subunit ribosomal RNA", at positions 1947 to 2549 of the family's 2925-position model. The record is from RNAcentral. Lineage: Eukaryota; Metazoa; Chordata; Actinopteri; Scombriformes; Trichiuridae.